GCCGGAAUAGCUCAGUGGUAGAGCGCAUCACUCGUAAUGAUGAGGUCUGCGGUUCGAUCCCGCAUUUCGGCA
RNAcentral lists this transfer RNA (72 nucleotides) under Echria macrotheca. RNAcentral describes it as "tRNA-Thr". It matches the Rfam family "tRNA". Rfam says of the family: Transfer RNA (tRNA) molecules are approximately 80 nucleotides in length. Their secondary structure includes four short double-helical elements and three loops (D, anti-codon, and T loops). Further hydrogen bonds mediate the characteristic L-shaped molecular structure. tRNAs have two regions of fundamental functional importance: the anti-codon, which is responsible for specific mRNA codon recognition, and the 3' end, to which the tRNAs corresponding amino acid is attached (by aminoacyl-tRNA synthetases). tRNAs cope with the degeneracy of the genetic code in two manners: having more than one tRNA (with a specific anti-codon) for a particular amino acid; and 'wobble' base-pairing, i.e. permitting non-standard base-pairing at the 3rd anti-codon position. Lineage: Eukaryota; Fungi; Ascomycota; Sordariomycetes; Sordariales; Schizotheciaceae. The record is from RNAcentral.